CACUUAUACCGUGAAACUGCGAAUGGCUCAUUAUAUCAGUUAUAGUUUAUUUGAUAGUCCCUACUACUUGGAUAACCGUAGUAAUUCUAGAGCUAAUACAUGCACAAGGCCUGACCGCAAGGGAGGGCUGCAUUUAUUAGAUACAACCAACCCCUUCGGGGUCCCUGGUGAAUCAUAAUAACUUAGCGAACCGCAUGCGAAAGCGGCGGUAGUUCAUUCAAGUUUCUGCCCUAUCAGCUUUCGAUGGUAGGGUAUUGGCCUACCAUGGCGUUAACGGGUAACGGAGAAUUAGGGUUCGAUUCCGGAGAGGGAGCCUGAGAGAUGGCUACCACAUCCAAGGAAGGCAGCAGGCGCGUAAAUUACCCAAUCCUGAUACAGGGAGGUAGUGACAAGAAAUAACAAUGCGGAGCCUUCGGGUUCUGCAAUUGGAAUGAGUACAAUUU
RNAcentral lists this ribosomal RNA (443 nucleotides) under uncultured eukaryote. RNAcentral's name for it is "SSU rRNA". It matches the Rfam family "Eukaryotic small subunit ribosomal RNA", at positions 71 to 526 of the family's 1831-position model. The record is from RNAcentral.